This 4006-nucleotide long non-coding RNA is filed under the name Piliocolobus tephrosceles (Ugandan red Colobus). Its description in RNAcentral is "lncRNA (ENSPTEG00000003353.1)". Lineage: Eukaryota; Metazoa; Chordata; Mammalia; Primates; Cercopithecidae. The record is from RNAcentral.
CAGAUGAAUUUUUUACGUUUUUUUUUUACAAUUACUUUUUUUCUAAAGACAUAAAUAAAAUAAAUGAAAAAAAUAUACAACAGUUUAUGAUAAAAUAUAAUUAUACAUUAAACGAUGUUUUAAAUGGUUUAAAUGAUAUUUUUUUUCAAUAUUUGUAUAAACAAAUAUAUAUAAGUGAAGGACCAAUAGAUGAAAAAGAUUUUUUUUAUCAUAUAAAUUCUUUUUUAUUAUUAUAUAAAAAAUUAUUUACAAAUAAUAUAGAAAAUAUAAAAAUAAUUAUUAGUCUUAUUUUAUAUAAAUAUAAUACAUAUUGUGUAAAUCAUGAAGAUAAAUAUGAGGAAAUUAUGUCAAAAAUUGUGUAUUUAUUUUAUAUACUUAAUCUUACAUAUAAGUAUAAUAUACAGUCUAUUGAUGCAUUAAAUAUAGUAAAACAUAAUCAUUAUGGCAUACCUCAUUUUUUCAAAAAUGAUAAGUUAGAUAGUUACUAUUUUUUAAACUACAUUGUGGAUAACUUUGGUGUAAGUUUAUCGUCAUCAUAUGUCUUUAUAUAUGUCCUUACAUAUGUCCUUACAUAUGUCUUUAUAUAUGUCCUUAUAUAUGUCUUUAUAUAUGUCCUUAUAUAUGUCCUUACAUAUGUCCUUAUAUAUGUCCUUANNNNNNNNNNAUGUCCUUAUAUAUGUCCUUAUAUAUGUCUUUAUAUAUGUCCUUAUACAUAUAUCUACAUUUAUGUUUAUUUUAUUUUAUUUUAUUUUUUUUUUUUUUACAGGUAAAAAAGAAUCUAAUUGUAGAUAGCAUCUUUAACAGAAUGAAAAAAAAUUAUGAAGAGUACAUAUUUUUUUUAUUAAAAAAUGAAAAUAAAAAUCUUUCCAAUAAAUACUUAGAAGAUAUAAACGGUAUGAAUGUCAUGACAUUAAGUUCAAGUGAUAUAGAAGAAGUAAAUAUUUUAAUUUUUAAUAAAUUAGCUAAAAAUAUAAUGAAUACACCAAAUUAUCAAUCUGUUUAUUUUGUACAUGGUAAAAAGAGGUAUAAGAGUGAUCAGGUUGGUUUAAUAUCCCGAAAAGAGAAAAAUAAAGUAGUGCCAGUAGUGGCAGUAGAACCAGUAGUGUCAGAAGUGGCAGUAGAACCAGUAGAACCAGUAGUGGCAGUAGAACCAGUAGUGUCAGAAGUGGCAGUAGAACCAACCGAAUCACUAGAACCAGUAGAAUCACCAGAACCAGUAGAAUCACUAGAACCAGUAGUAGAUGAAUAUGUAACUGAUUAUGAUGAAUUGAAAGCUGACGAUAAUGUUAUUGAUGAGGAUGGUGAUGACACAACACUUGAUGAUACAGAUGAAGAUCUUUCUUUUUUUUUCGAAGAUAAUAUUGACUAUACAAUACAAGAUAAUAGUAGUAAUAAAAAAAAUGUUAUCAACAUUUUAGAAAGAAAUAAGGUAGAAGAAUCAGAAAAAGUAAUAUUAUUACAGAAAAUAAAUGAUAUUUAUUUUUUAAAAAAUUAUUUAAACAUUAAUAAAGAACUUGUUUAUAGAUAUAUAGAAAAACCUUUAUUUCCAUAUAUAUAUAAAGAAUAUAAAACAUUAUUAAAUAACUUAUUAUUAAAAAAAUUAAAAAAUAAAAAUGAGAAUUUAUUUUUUUUAAAAAAUAAAAUUUCUUUAUCUAGUAAUUUGAUUGAACAAAUUAUUAAGGAUAUUAUUUUAAAUUUUGUUAUAAAAAUUAAAGAUAAUAUUAGUAUAUGUAUGAAACUAAAUAAUAUGAAUAAAUGUAUAAAAUUGCUUAUUCAUUUGAUGAAUGUAUAUAAAAAAAUAAAAAAAAAUAAAAAAAUAUUACAAAUAAAUAAUUUAACAUUUAAUUUGGAUGAUUUAUUUGGGUAUAAUUAUUAUAAAGAGAAAGAAAAUAUGGUUGAAAAUGUGGUGGAUAAUGUAGUGGAAAAUUUGAAUGGAAAUAUACCUCCAAGGAGUUACAAUGAAAGAACAAAAAUAAAGGAAAAAAAAAAAAUUAAAUUGGAAGAUGUAUUUUUAGAUUCAAAUAUAUGGGAUGAUGAGUAUAGUGGAGAAUAUGAAAAAAAAGAUUCUGUGACAAGAGAUGGUUUAACAUAUGACGAAACAGAUUAUACAAUAAACAAGGCAACCACAGAUGACGAAAGAGGUGAUACAAUAAACAAGGUAAUAACAGAUGAAAAAACAAACCUAAAUGAAGAAACAACUUAUUUAAAUAAUAUAAUAAAUAAAGAUACUGUAGGAUACGAUAUAAUAUUAUUACCAGAAGAAAAAAAACGAUUAUAUGAAGAAUUUUUAUUAAAAUAUAUGAAAAAUGAAAAUGAACGUAAAAUUGUUAAAAUGAUUUUAAAUUUAAAUUAUAAUAAUAUAGAUAAAGAAAUAGAAGAUAAUAUAAUAAAUAAAUUUUUAGAACAAGCAGUAACAGAAAAAUUGUUUUAUUUAAAUAAAUUAAAUUCUGCUUAUAAUAUAAUAGAUACUCAAGGUAACUUAUUCGAUUAUAAAAAUAUAAAUUUUAUUGAUAGAAUAAAGCAAGAGAUCAAUAAAAAAGGUCGUUUACAUAAAACGAUAUAUAAUAUAAAUAAAAAAAAAAAAGAGGAUAACCUACUUAAUGAUAAAAAAAAAGAACAUCCUAAAAAAAAAGGAUUAAACGAAUCAAUUGAUAUAAGUGAAUAUACAAUACAAAAAGAAGAAAUUUUUGACGAUAUAGAUAAUUUAUUGUUUGAAAAUAUAUGUACAAAAAUGUAUAUAAAUAAAUUAUUAUCACUGAAAGAUAACAUAUAUAAUAAUAGAAUAAGUUUAUAUUUUUAUGAAAUAAUUUUAAAUAUAAAAAAUGUUGAAGAUAUACAUAGUACUUAUUUAAUUAGUCAAUAUGAAAUGAUGAUAAAAGACAUUAUAAAAACAACACUUGUAAGUAAAAACUAUAUGAAUAUAAAAAAUAUGUAUUUAAAAAAAAUAAUUAAUUUUUUAAAUAUAUCAGAAGACACAGCUGUUACUGUUGAACUUAGUUGUAUAUAUGAACAUACAUAUUCAAUUUUUAAAGAAAUUAAAGAAAAUUUUUAUAUAUAUAAAAAUGAUAGCGAUUUUAUUGAAAGUUUAAAUAAAAUAUUAACUAUAUAUAAUAAUUUAAAUUUAAUAAAAAAAAAAAAUGAUCAAUAUUAUAUUAAAUUUGCACUUAUAGAAAACGACUCUAAUAUAGUAUAUAAAAUAAUAGAAAGAUAUGUUCUAUAUGUAAUUGAUGAAAUUAAUGAUAAAAAUAGUUUGGAUUAUAAAGAAAACAUUUUUAAAUUAACUGCUAUUUUAAACGUUAGUUACGAUAUACUAAAUAACAUAUCGGUUAAAAUAUAUAAAGAAUACAUAAAAGAUCAAAAGUUAAACAGUAUAAACUCUUUAGAUGAUUUUUUCCAAUUUUUGUUUAACAUGAGUAAAGAAAAACAAAAAGAAAUUGUAUUGGCACAUUUAGAAAAACAAAUACAGGAGUAUUUAAAAAGUAAUAUAGAGUACCAGGAUAAAAUGCAAAAAGUACAUGAUGUCAUUUUUUUUAUAAAUAAUAAUUUACAUAUUCAGAAAAAUGUGUUUAAUAUAUCAUACAUAAGUUCUGAAACAGUUUAUGAGUUUUUAACAUCUUGUAUUAAUGACUAUUUGAAUAAUAAUAAAAAUAAACUAUCCUUUAUGGAGGACCAUAACAAGUAUAUAGUGGAUUUAAGAAAAUAUAUAGACAAAAUUAUGAUUAUGAUAAAAGGAAAAGAAGAAAAUCAUCACCUUCAACAUAUUUUUAACAUUUUGAAAAGAGACAUAAUAAAAAAGGCUAUCUACUUUUUGGACAAAUUUAAAUAUGAUGUGUGCGUAGAAGAAAUUUACAACUUAAUUAAGCUUCAAAUGGUUGAUGAAAAAAAUAAUUUCUCCGAUAUAGAUAUUUAUAAAAGAAAAAAAUUGAUCAACAUUUUCUCAUACCAAGAUAUUAGCGAUGAAAAAAAGAUGCUUUACAUGGAUAUUCUGAAUAAAGCCUUGUUGUAA